UACGUAGGGUGCAAGCGUUGUCCGGAAUUAUUGGGCGUAAAGAGCUCGUAGGCGGUCUGUCGCGUCUGCUGUGAAAACUCAGGGCUUAACCCUGAGCUUGCAGUGGGUACGGGCAGACUAGAGUGCGGUAGGGGAGACUGGAAUUCCUGGUGUAGCGGUGAAAUGCGCAGAUAUCAGGAGGAACACCCGUGGCGAAAGCGGCUCUCUGGGACGGUACUGACGCUGAAGACGCGAAAGCGUGGGGAGCGAACAGG
RNAcentral lists this ribosomal RNA (254 nucleotides) under uncultured bacterium. RNAcentral's name for it is "partial 16S ribosomal RNA". It matches the Rfam family "Bacterial small subunit ribosomal RNA", at positions 524 to 776 of the family's 1533-position model. The record is from RNAcentral.